UUUGAUCCUCGGCUCAGGACGAACGCUGGCGGCGUGCUUAACACAUGCAAGUCGAACGAUGAAACAGAUCUUGAUGUCUUCGGACUGAUUGAACUGUGGAUUAGUGGCGGACGGGUGAGUAACGCGUGAGCAAUCUGCCUUACACAAAGGGAUAGCCUCGGGAAACCGGGAUUAAUACCAUAUGAUAUCACAUUUUCGCAUGAAGAAGUGAUUAAAGAAUUUCGGUGUAAGAUGAGCUCGCGUCCCAUUAAUUAGUUGGUGAGGGUAACGGCCCACCAAGAUAGCGAUGGGUAGCCGAUCUAAGAGGAUGACCGGCCACAUUGGAACUGAGACACGGUCCAAACUCCUACGGGAGGCAGCAGUGGGGAAUAUUGCACAAUGGGGGAAACCCUGAUGCAGCGACGCCGCGUGAGCGAAGAAGGCUUUCGGGUCGUAAAGCUCUGUCAUAAGGGAAGAUAAUGACGGUACCUUAAGAAGAAAGCCCCGGCUAACUACGUGCCAGCCGCCGCGGUA
RNAcentral lists this ribosomal RNA (513 nucleotides) under Streptomyces sp. WAC 01420. Its description in RNAcentral is "bacterial SSU rRNA". It matches the Rfam family "Bacterial small subunit ribosomal RNA", at positions 12 to 522 of the family's 1533-position model. Lineage: Bacteria; Bacillati; Actinomycetota; Actinomycetes; Kitasatosporales; Streptomycetaceae. The record is from RNAcentral.